Molecule: long non-coding RNA, 310 nt
Filed under: Vigna radiata
Lineage: Eukaryota; Viridiplantae; Streptophyta; Magnoliopsida; Fabales; Fabaceae
Description: long non-coding RNA (VRAD_LNC011650)
Source: RNAcentral
GCAAAUGCAGUUCAUCUCAAGGAUGAAUCAAUUAUGGAAUACAUCAAAAAUCUUGAGUAUCUACCAUUGGUAACACUAUAUUAAUCUACUGCAUUAUGCUUGAUUUGUUUGGUUGUGAUUAUGUGAUUGGAUGAACAUCUUGUUUGAAUUUAUUGUCUAGUUGAUUGAUUGUUUGAAUUUGAAACUCUGUUUUUUUUUGUGUCUCGGUCGACUAUGUUAUUAAUACAUUUGACUAUGUUCCUGUUUUGUGUUAUCUACACUCACAGUAUUUUAUCAAAUUUUAUUAUGAGUUUCUUUUGAUCUUUCGCGC